This is a small nuclear RNA of Otolemur garnettii (small-eared galago), 190 nucleotides long. Its record names the gene U2. It matches the Rfam family "U2 spliceosomal RNA". From Rfam's summary of the family: U2 is a small nuclear RNA (snRNA) component of the spliceosome (involved in pre-mRNA splicing). Complementary binding between U2 snRNA (in an area lying towards the 5' end but 3' to hairpin I) and the branchpoint sequence (BPS) of the intron results the bulging out of an unpaired adenosine, on the BPS, which initiates a nucleophilic attack at the intronic 5' splice site, thus starting the first of two transesterification reactions that mediate splicing. The record is from Ensembl. Lineage: Eukaryota; Metazoa; Chordata; Mammalia; Primates; Galagidae.
ACACUUGCCAGCCUUUCAGCUAAGCUCAUAUAUAGUAUCUGUUCUUAUCAUUUUAAUGUCUGAUAUGUCCUUUAUCUGAGGACAAGAUAUUAAAUGGAUUUGGGGAAGUAGGGGAUGGAGUAGGAUCUUGUUCCAUCCACUCCACACAUUGACCUGGUAUUGCAAUACUUCCAGAAAUACUGCACCCCCU